This is a long non-coding RNA of Corythoichthys intestinalis (scribbled pipefish), 804 nucleotides long. RefSeq lists it as uncharacterized. NCBI's taxonomy places the organism in Eukaryota, Metazoa, Chordata, Actinopteri, Syngnathiformes, Syngnathidae. The transcript has 5 exons. The record is from RefSeq and is a predicted model, not a curated record.
GAGUGUUACAGCUGCAUAUCAUCCUCAGACGAAUGGGCUGGAUGAGAGGACAAAUAGCAACAUAAAACGGCAAGUUUUUUUUUUUUUUGGGUGUUCUAAAAUGUAUAUCUAAUUGUACCCUUCUACUUCGUACAGCUCUUACAAAAUUGGUGAACGACCGAAAGGAUUUGUUUGGUGGUUUGGCCUAUUCAGUAGAUAAUUUUGACCGGAUGGUCAUCUGGUCAAGUGCCGUAAAUAAUUACUUUUUUUUAUUUAACAAUGUUGUGUUUUCAGUUAAAUUACUGUGGGCUGCAGAGGACCAAGGCAAGGUGGAGGCUAUCGUUGGACCGUAUAAAUUAUAUGACACGUCUUUUCAUACGCUAAAAGGCAACGGCUGGCUGUCUGAUGAAGAGCCGAUUCACCAACUCUCUGCUGUGGUAGCUGGGAGUCUGCUUUUGGGAAAAUUUCAGCCUGUUAGAAAGAGGAAAUUCCCUGUUGAAAAAAAGUGGAUUUGUCCUGUCCUGUCCUGUAUGCGCUCAUUGGAUGUUAGUGAUUGUCCACAUUUCUGAGAGAACACUGGUGAUCAUCGAUCCCUUGAGUAACGAAGACAAAUAUGAGCAAAAUCUUGCGGAAUUGGAGGAACUUCUUGAGGUUGGCGGGCCGUGAGUUCCAAAUAGAAACUUGGACUACCAAAACUGUGGCCCAUAACAAGCAGCAGAACAACAGUAGCUGUGGGGUUUUCACAUUAAAGGUAAUGAUUUUAAGAUUUCGGAGUCUCUGCAAUAAAACUUUGCUGCUGUUGUUGUUUAGCACUGAUAUGUAACA